Long non-coding RNA from Phycodurus eques (leafy seadragon), 5015 nucleotides. RefSeq lists it as uncharacterized. Lineage: Eukaryota; Metazoa; Chordata; Actinopteri; Syngnathiformes; Syngnathidae. The transcript has 3 exons. The record is from RefSeq and is a predicted model, not a curated record.
CCAAAAGGAAGCACGAGAACUCUUAAAAAAAGAAUAACAAAAAAAGAAAACUGCAUCAGUUGCACGUCUAAAAGCUGAAGCAGAUGUUGAGGGAAAACUACAUGCUUGAUUCAUUGUGACGGCGUUUGUCAUUUUCCAAAUCACUAUCUUGUGAGAUGAGCUUGUAAGGUUUCUUCCUCUCUUUCUCCUCCAGCACAGAGUUUCCCAUCUCCACAUCCUUGCUGCGAAGCUCGUGUCGAGAGAGGAACUCUAUGAUGCCGGCUCCGAUUGAAUCGCCCAAAACGUUGGUGGUGGUACGCAGACGGUCCCUAUCACACGAGAGAAAGAGGAUGUCGAACAUCGCCGUAGACAACAUCGAUUCAUCUCCAUUUAACAUUUACGGAAGCAUCGUGAGGCCCCUUCGGGACUUAGCUCGUGAAGAGGUAGACUUAGCAGCCAUGAUCGGAAGUACCACGUGCCCUCGUCCGAAAUGCGCAUGCACUCUGUCAUAUAAAUGGAACCCGCGCUGUCUGCAUGCGAGGCAGCGACAUGUACGACUACACUGGGGGCAGCAGCUUGAGCAGCGAAGCCCAGACUUCCCUCUCCCCGGCGGCCAUUUCGUCCAGCUCUUCCAGGGGGAUUCCGAGUAUUUCCUCGGCCGACACAGUCAUAGUCUCUCCGGCGGGUCCCGGAUGGUCACUGUGACUUCCUCCCAGUGGGAGUGCUCUGAAAACCUCACCAGGGAGGCAUCCGCGGGGCAUCCUAACCAGCCAGAUGAGGUCCCACCGACCUCAUCUGGCUCCUCUUGACGCAGCUCCACUCCGAGCCCCUCUCGGAUGACCGAGCUUUCUCACCCUAUCUGUCCUCAGUGAGCUCACCCUGCAGACUAAACUCCUUUCUGUGAUCUUAUUCUUUCGGUCAGAACCCACAGAUCGCGCCCAUAGGCGAGGGUGGGAACGUAGCUUUACCGGUAAAUUGCCGGCUUCACCUUUCGGCUCGACUCCUUCUCCGCCACAACAGACCGAUUGCAGACUAGUCUGCGUAACUGCAGAUGCUGCGCCAAUCCGCUAGUUGAUCUCCCGCUCAAUUCUUCCCUCACUCAUGACCAAGACCCCACAUUACUGAAACUCCUCUACUUGGGACAUGAUCUCUUCCUGAAACCCGGAGAGGGCACUCAACCCUUUUCUAACUGAGGACCAUAGCCUCAGAUUUGGAGGUGCUGAUUUUUAUCCCAGCCACUUUACACUCACAGUAGCUGCGAACCGCUCCAGCGAGAGGGCAAGAUCGGAUCUUGAUGAAGCCAACAGAACCACAUCAUCUGCAAUAAGCAGAGACGUAAUACCAAGGUCACCAAACCGGACCCCCGCGACGCCUCGGCUGUGCCGAGAAACUCUGUCCAUAAAAGCUAUGAAAAAAAAUCGGUCAAGUUCUGAACACAAUUGGUAACAAAGUGGAGCCUUGGCGGAGUCCAACACUCACUGAAAAGGAGCCCGGCCGGCCUACUGCCGGCCGCCAAUGCGGCCCAAACACCGACACGGGUCAUAAAAGGACCAAACGGCCCACAUGAGGGAGUGCGGUACCGCAUGGUCUCGUAGCACCCUCCACACGACUCCCCGAGGGACACAGUUGAUGCCUUCUCCAAGUCCACAAAGCAGACUGGUCGGAUGAACUCCUACGCACCCUUCCAGAACCAUGCUGAAGGUGUAGAGCUGGUCGACUGUUCCUCGGCCAGGACGAAAACCACACUGAUUUGGCUUCCUGACAGACCCUCCUCUCCAGCACCCCCAAUAGACCUUACCAGAUUGGGGGGGGGGGGGUGAGGUGAGGUGUGUAAUCCCCCUGUAGUUGAACCUCAAAAAAGGUGGACCACCACCCCAGUCUGCAAUCCAGAGGCCCACAGAGGAGUUUUAUAACGAGCUCUGCAACUUCCACUCCAGAGACAGGUGAGCCCGCUGCAGAACCCCCAGACUCUGCUUCCUCAUAGGAAGGCAUGUCAGUGGAAUUGAGGAGGUAAUUCCAAGUGUAUUCUCCCCACCGGUGACACUAAAGUGGCGGUGUUCCAUACAUAAAGUCAACAAUGCAAAUGUUUAUGUGGCGGUAACGUGGUUCGGUCAAUGUUAGCUGAUUUACAAACAUAAACCACCCUCUGUUGUUUUGGAACAAUGUGAAGGAUGUUCUGUACUCAUGUUUUCGAUUACUGUAUGCUCCAGAAAAAGGACAGAUGUUCAUAUUUGGACCAUCCUAGUUGAGGAGGCGGGGAUUUUUCCACAUUGCCCCAGUUAGCUGAGCAAUUUGUGAAAAGGGUCUUCUAAUUGGAAUGAUUAAUUUGGGCAACCUAAUUACGUUUCUAUGUUAAAACUCAGUCCGGAAAAUAUUCAAUACAAAGGGAACGAUGUAGAGCAGGACUUCAGGGAGAAUGGCAAAGUGUGUCACUAGGUGGUAGUAGAGAUGAGGAUACGUUUGACCUUUAAAAUGACAACUCUGAUUCAUGUCGGCGCGUGAACGCGGGUUCCGCUCUUCGCCGCGUGACGUGAUUAUAUUUUCGACGGCGCAAGAUACUCACAGGAACCAAUCAACUGCAAUGAUCAGAGUAAUGUCGUCGGUGGGAAGUCCAACAGACGUCAAUACAAUCACCAUCGUGACCAGGCCCGCUUGUGGGAUCCCGGCAGCUCCGAUACUCGCUGCAGUUGCUGUAAUACUUUGUUAAAGGGCAGGAAGUUCAUUGGUGUAUAUUUGCUCUUCGUUAUUAUAGUCUCCCUGUGUUCACUCUUACCUGAUGGUGAUGAUCUGACCAAAGUUCAUCUCCAUGUUGUUGACUUGGGCAAUAAAAAUGGCUGCCAGCGCUUCGUAGAGAGCGGUGCCAUCCAUGUUGAUGGUGGCACCCACGGGCAACACAAAGCGAGUAAUUCGCUUGUCUAUCUUGUUGUUCUCCUCCAGACAUUUAAAUGUGACAGGGAGGGUGGCCGAGCUGCGAGAUGACACAACAGAAACGAGAAAUGUUCGCACCAAAGCGGACCUUACAACGAAUUGGAUGCCAACGCUUUCGAUCCGGGCCUCACCUCGAAGAGGUGCCCAACGCCGUGACCAGAGCUUGCACAAGGCCAGCGAUGAAAAUGAAAGGGUUCUGCCGAGUGAUGGCAAAAUACAGGGUGGGAAGAAUAAGAACGCCAUGGAUCAUGAGGCCGAUUAUAACUGUGAUAGUAUACAUGCCCAACUGGCCACCCAUCUGUGUGAGAUCAUCCAUCUCCACUAUUUUCCCUGCAAUGAGGAACAGGAUGCCAAUAGGAGCGUACCUGAAAGGAGGAAGAGGUCGUGUUAAGAGAGCUGUACCGGAAAGACAAAUGGAACAGGAGGUGAAAAGUCAAGGCCCACCACAUGAUGAUGGCAACCAGCUGCAUGAUUGCUUCAUUGAGGCCGUCAAAGAAAUCCCUCAGGAGCUGGCCUUGCUCCUUCAUGUUGCCAAUUAUCAGCCCAAAACACAUAGAGAAGACCACCAAGCCCAGCGCGUUUACUCCAUUCACCUGACCGGGCACCGGUAUCACUUCCUCUCGGGUGAUCUCCAUGACCUCCUGGGUGUCGUUGGUUGUAUUGAAGAGGGUGUCGUUCACUGUCACCGUCACGUGAACGACUCGUUUUCCAUACUUUGUUUUGAACUGGACAAAGAAAUGAUGGCGCUCGGUUAGAUAGGCAAGCUGACCGCAGAUACCCCACAUUUGCAUACAUUGCAUCGUCAUCACCCAUCCAUACUCGGCUGCCAGCAAAACGUAUUCGGGGACCGCACCCGAGCGAGUAUACCUCGACACCGUCCCAAUGAGCUGGAGCCGAGCCCAGCAGACCUCGGGCACGAGGCGGGGCACGCUCUGAACUGGCCACCGGCCAAUCGCAGGGCACGUGUGGACAAAGAACCAUUCACGCUCACAUUCAACCCUUCAGACAAUCUAGAGCCUUCAACUAACUUCAAGAACAAAACCUCCUUUUUGGAAUGUGGCAGAAAACCCACACAAGGACAAAGGAGAACUUCAAACAGGAAGGCCAGAGCCCGGAUUCGAACAGGCAGAUGUGCUCACUCGAAAGCCGCCCGGAAUCAGCACGUCAUCUAGCAAAUGAGACGUGAAUGUGGGGGCUCACCUGUUGUGUGCAGGCUUGGACCAAGUUCGGAGGAAACAUAUUUCUGAAAUGAGAAUCCACUCACUUAGAGACGAUUGAACGCAAAUAAGUAAGAAUGUUUCAUGCACCCGCGAGUAGUCUACUUUCUUACAGUACAUCAUUGCACGCUACCUAAUCAGAUCCAAAAAGGCAUCUGCAGGACUGACUUGCUCUAUCAUUUGUUGUUUCCCAAACUCAUCUUUAGAACCUUUUCCUGGGUGGAUGAUAAGGACAAUGAGGAUACCAAUGAAGACCGCAAUAAAAGUAGUGGUCAUGUAGUAAAUCACAGCUCUCAUGCCCAUUUUCCCGGAGGCUUUGCUGUCCAAAGCUGCCAUUCCUAAUGCACACAAGGGGUGGGGGGGGGACGACAAUACAGCAUUUAAGAAUCUGAACAUGAACGCUCUCAGAACCCCGGCAAAUACGGGGAGAAUAUAUUGAAAUGAUGAUCUUAGGCUCAGCAACCUUUGUACCUGUUAUUAGACUGGAGACCAAUAAGGGUAGAACAAGCAUCUGCAGCAUUCUCAUCAGUAGCUCCCCAGGGAAAGAGAAGUACUUCACCUCUCGAUACGACAUCUUAUAGGGACGCAAUGCAAAUCCAAGAAUAAUUCCUACGAAGACAAUGGAGGUGUGGGUCAGGGCGUCUGUCAGCUCAUGACUGAUGAAAUGCAUCACCUUUACUUUUCUAUUGAGUUUGAAAAGGCAUACGUACCCACAACAACUGCACCCACUGUGAAGAGCACAAAGGCAUUCUUUUUGAGAAAGGUCCGGAUGUCCUCUUUGGAGAUCUCCUCCACUUUCCUCUUGGCCUUCAUGGUGCGUAUGUGGAUGCCUUCUCUGAAACGCUGCAUCCUGCUGCGCUGGACCGAACAUUUACAGUCAGUGAGGUUGAC